AUGGACUGCACCCUGCAUAGAAGCCUUGUCUAUUUAGGAGGAAGAAUAUAUUGUGCCCAAGGCAAAGCAUUUACACACAAAAGAGGGUUGAAGACAGAGAGAAGGACAGAAUUUCACAGUACUUUACAAGACUGCCUGUUGAAGAAAACUUGGCUCCUUAUUACACAAAUUCAAGCAGGUGCAGGAGGCUAUCAAUGACCACUGGAAACAAAGACGGCCCGAAAUGUGAACUUGCUUUCACCUCUUAUUAUUCUACAGCAAUAUCAAAGGUUAAUGUGCAAAAUAAUUUAGGUCACCAUGAUUUGAAACCAGUAGACCAUGGAAGCUUCUUUCAGUGCCAGUCCAGUCUUACAAGCAACGUUUCAGAGCAUUUGCAUAGCUGCGACUAGAGCAAUUCCAUAUUGGAUAUUACUAUUUUUGCAACAGACCACUGCCACAAAUAAUUAAAAAGAAUACUACCUUGCCCAAGAUUAUCCAUUUAUUCAAAGAAUUCAGGCUUACAUAUCCUACACCUCAAUGCAAUACUGGCCUCCUUCCUUCUUUUCCCCAUAGAAAUAUAAAACCUAGUUGGUGCAGGGAAGAUUGUGGGUUUUUUUAUGGCUAUGGGUGGCUUGUGUACAUUCUUAGCACUGUACAAAUAAAACUACUGCUGCAAUAUGACUAUAUUAUAAU
Molecule: long non-coding RNA, 672 nt
Organism: Pogona vitticeps (central bearded dragon)
Lineage: Eukaryota; Metazoa; Chordata; Lepidosauria; Squamata; Agamidae
Source: Ensembl